Molecule: small RNA, 1071 nt
Filed under: Pan troglodytes (chimpanzee)
Lineage: Eukaryota; Metazoa; Chordata; Mammalia; Primates; Hominidae
Description: retained intron
Source: RNAcentral
AUGUCUGAAGAAGUUACUUAUGCAGAUCUUCAAUUCCAGAACUCCAGUGAGAAGGAAAAAAUCCCAGAAAUUGGCAAAUUUGGGGAAAAAGCACCUCCAGCUCCCUCUCGUGUAUGGCGUCCAGCAGCCUUGUUUCUGACUCUUCUGUGCCUUCUGUUGCUCAUUGGAUUGGGAGUCUUGGCAAGCAUGUGUAUGUACUGCCCCUGUUUUGGUCAAAAGAGGAAGUAUCUAGAAUUUCAAAUAUUUAACAACAAAAGUUUAUUCCUUCAGUGGAAGAUUUAUAAUAAUGAUAGGUGAUAGGCCCACAAGGAGGACUUACAAUGUGGAACUUAGUCUCUUUCCCUCACUCCUGUAGAGUAAUUGCUUUCCCUACCCCUUUAAUCUUUAUACUACUUCUGCAAAUGAUAAAGGAUGAUGGCUCUAUUGAGAAUUUACAAUUUUUUGUCAUUUUUUUAAUGUGGAGUUCACGUAACUUUGAAGAUAGAAAUGAAAAAAAUGAACAAACUACAAAACAUCAGUGAAGAGCUCCAGAGAAAUGUUUCUCUACAACUGAUGAGUAACAUGAAUAUCUCCAACAAGAUCAGGAACCUCUCCACCACACUGCAAACAAUAGCCACCAAAUUAUGUCGUGAGCUAUAUAGCAAAGAACAAGAGCACGAAUGUAAGCCUUGUCCAAGGAGAUGGAUUUGGCAUAAGGACAGCUGUUAUUUCCUAAGUGAUGAUGUCCACACAUGGCAGGAGAGUAAAAUGGCCUGUGCUGCUCAGAAUGCCAGCCUGUUGAAGAUAAACAACAAAAAUGCAUUGGAAUUUAUAAAAUCCCAGAGUAGAUCAUAUGACUAUUGGCUGGGAUUAUCUCCUGAAGAAGAUUCCACUCAUGGUAUGAGAGUGGAUAAUAUAAUCAACUCCUCUGCCUGGGUUAUAAGAAACGCACCUGACUUAAAUAACAUGUAUUGUGGAUAUAUAAGUAGACUAUAUGUUCAAUAUUAUCACUGCACUUAUAAACAAAGAAUGAUAUGUGAGAAGAUGGCCAAUCCAGUGCAGCUUGGUUCUAUAUAUUUUAGGGAGGCAUGA